UUAUCGGGGAAAGGGUGGGUGUCGCUCAGAGAGACUAUGCAGUGGAGUGUUUGAACCCAGGCUUACAUGUCCACCUUGGGUUUUUCUUCUUCUUUUUUUCCCCUGUCUUUAAAUAAAACAAAAACAAAAAAAAUUCCCAAAAAAAUGAGUAAAAACCGCUGAAAUGGGAUUCCCACUAAUAUUCCUCAAACGUGUCGUGCCAUCGUUAAAUUGUACAGCUAGUACAGCUACUAAUAAUAACAAUACAAACUGAAAAACCUUUAUUACCUAGCAAACGGCGGGCCAGUUGUAGCAGGAGGAGGACAGGUUAAGAUUUGCAAAAGUCCAUUUUUGUCGAUUUUUCUCGCAGCUCGAGCGAGGCCGGUGAAACUGCAAAUUUUACACGACUACAGUGCUUUUUUUUCUUUUUAUAGAGAUUCUAUCAAUCCAGUGUGUAGUUGGAUCACCUGUAAACCUAUUAUGCACAUCGCUUUGGGAGACUGUUGAAACUAUAUAUAAAAUAUAUAUAUGAGAAUAUAAUCGUACAGUGUCUAUAAUCAACGAGGGGGGCGUCUUCCUCUCUUGCAAACAAAAACAGGAAGUACCUUUUUAUUUUCAAAUGUCUUCCUCGGGUCAUCAAAGGAUUUUAUCUUUAAACUUCGGUGGAAUCUGCACUUUUUGAAGGACAAUCUUUAUUUGUAUGGGUAUAAAAAUUGACAAAAUAAACGAAGUCGCCUGAUAUUAAUGGUAUAAAAAACCAACUCCAGUGUGCUCUAAUAAUGAAUGUCUCCUCUGAUGCUGUCUACUUGUUUGGUUUCAUUUUAAUCCUUUUAUUCUCCUUCCUUUUGUUGCUUGGUUUGUUCUGUAUUUUUUUCCUCUUUAUUUCUUUCUGGAUUUUACUGCUCUUAAGAGAAUCUGUACUAAGGUGUAGAGUAGUGAGUAGUAGGUCUUCUGUUGGCUGUACUCGUAUACUGAAUUACUGUUUGUAACCCGCUGGCUUCUGCAGCCAGCAUACAAAGCUGUAUAACUUGGGUACAACCCUCAAUAAAAGACUAAUACACAG
Long non-coding RNA from Astatotilapia calliptera (eastern happy), 1042 nucleotides. The record is from Ensembl. Lineage: Eukaryota; Metazoa; Chordata; Actinopteri; Cichliformes; Cichlidae.